UCAUGGUAUUUACUGGUUUGGGGUAA
This 26-nucleotide non-coding RNA is filed under the name Mus musculus (house mouse). The record is from RNAcentral. Lineage: Eukaryota; Metazoa; Chordata; Mammalia; Rodentia; Muridae.